AGUAAGGACAUCUUCAUCCUCUUCAUAAUAUAGUCAAGACUUUUUGCCCACCUUUUUACCAGGGCUUUAUAUAAUUUCCCAGCCUCUUUUAAAAGGCCUUAAUUUCACCAGGUAUUAAUAUUGCCACAUAAGUCAUGCUGUAUCAUGGAAAUGCAAGUGGUCCUCAACGCCAUCAAGUUUAGGAGCAGGUAAAAAUCAGCAUACUUUAUUUAGAAACAGCAUCAAGUUUAGAGGCAGUGAAAAUUAAGCAUACUUUAUUUAGCAAGGAAAUACUGCAAGCUGACCCCAAGGCUAUCAAGUUCAGGCCUUUCCCAUAUUCCGAAAUCAUUUGAGGGGACAAAACACCCACGUUUUUUUUUCCCAACAUUUGGAGAUGGCGCUGGCGAAAGCCAUAAAGGCUAGGUUUUUUAAUAUUAUGUAUCAUCAUUGCUCAAUUACUUUUUUUAAGACACAAAGCAUCCAGUUCUUUUAUGCCACCACUUUGAAGAAAGAACGAUAUUUAACUAUCUUAGCUGAGUUCCAGCGAGGGGAAACGGAUUAAAUUAAGGGAGCAACAUUUUACAUCACUUACUUGCAUAGAAACCCAAAGAAAACAAGCGAUGCCUUUCUCUGGAGAAAACGACAAGAGGAUAAAACAUGUGACGGGAUGAGAGGCAGCUCUAUCAUACAAAAGGAGCUAUUUGGGCUUCCUAAACCUAAACAGGGCAGAGUGCAGAACUAAGUAGUUGAUCCCAGCGGCUCUAUAAUACAAAAGGAGCC
Molecule: long non-coding RNA, 759 nt
Filed under: Ananas comosus (pineapple)
Lineage: Eukaryota; Viridiplantae; Streptophyta; Magnoliopsida; Poales; Bromeliaceae
Description: long non-coding RNA (ACOM_LNC039188)
Source: RNAcentral